UGGAUCGAUGAUGACUACUGGUGGCUUACGAGUGUGAGACGAUGACUAUGGGUCUGGAACUCUGAGGUCCAU
This is a small nucleolar RNA of Lemur catta (Ring-tailed lemur), 72 nucleotides long. RefSeq annotates it as small nucleolar RNA SNORD113/SNORD114 family. The transcript has a single exon. The record is from RefSeq and is a predicted model, not a curated record. NCBI's taxonomy places the organism in Eukaryota, Metazoa, Chordata, Mammalia, Primates, Lemuridae.